GCCUGGAUUCGCUUGAGUUAGGGCAUACAAAUAUUUGGGCAGAAGAAGGAACGAAUCAUCAAUUCGACCGUAUAUCUUCUCUAAGCUGAGAUUUCUUGCAUGCAGCGCGACAUCAUAUUUGAUUCUGACGCCAAAUUCACGUAACAACUCCGACAUAAUAGAUUUCGGCUUAAUGACCUCUCCGUCAUCGCGUAUUCUUUUUUCCACAUAAGCUGCAACCACAUUCGAAUGUGCCUUUAUUCGUUUCAAAAUGCCCAACUCCCCUUCGCAAGAGUGCUCUUUAAACUUAUGCACUCCCCACAUCCCUCCGCCGUGACAAGAUGCACGCACAUCGAACUUGCACUUAUCAG
Molecule: long non-coding RNA, 350 nt
Filed under: Salvia miltiorrhiza (redroot sage)
Lineage: Eukaryota; Viridiplantae; Streptophyta; Magnoliopsida; Lamiales; Lamiaceae
Description: long non-coding RNA (SMIL_LNC013542)
Source: RNAcentral